Molecule: long non-coding RNA, 597 nt
Organism: Cephus cinctus (wheat stem sawfly)
Lineage: Eukaryota; Metazoa; Arthropoda; Insecta; Hymenoptera; Cephidae
Exons: 3
Source: RefSeq, a predicted model, not a curated record
AGCAGCAGCAUCCUGGUCACGGACGACGUUACGUCGCAUCCACGAGGCAGCUUUGGCAUUUUUCCCGAGGCCAUGGUAAAUUGCAUCUAUCAAGACUGCAUCGAGCCAGGAACGUUAAGACGAAAGUGAAAGGAGGAAAGACUCAGGAGAUGGUCAAAACGAAGGACCGACACCCAGUACCUUGAGGAUCAAAUUAUAACGGAUCAUCAGCACUUAGGCGACUCAGCGAAUUUCACAGUUCACGGCGAAGCCCAAGAAAUGGCUGCUGCAUUGCAAGUACAAAGAGGAACACAAGAGUAUGAAUGACAGGAGAAUAAAAAAAUUGAAAGGAUCGCCAUAUGGAGCCUGUCGAAGGAUUUUCAGGCAGGAGAUGAUUUCGUUGCAUAAUUCUCCGGACAUUCAACGUCAAUUUACGUCCUUUCAUCUACGGUUGCACUCGAACCGCAACAUCAUUUUCGCCUGGCAAUACAAGAGCGCCCGUUCAAUGUCGAACGAUCUAACAUCUGUCCGUGUUUUGCUACCUGGCCGUGACGGAGCAUUGGCGAGAGGAACAUCCGUCGACAGUUAACCCCAUCGAAGGCUCCAAUGACUUCCGCG